UGGGGAAUUUUGCACAAUGGGGGAAACCCUGAUGCAGCGACGCCGCGUGAUUUAGAAGGCCUUCGGGUUGUAAAAAUCUUUUUUAUGGGAUGAAAAUGACAGUACCAUAAGAAAAAGGUCCGGCUAAAUACGUGCCAGCAGCCGCGGUAAUACGUAUGGACCGAGCGUUGUCCGGAAUCAUUGGGCGUAAAGGGUACGUAGGCGGAUAAGCAAGUUAGAAGUGAAAUCCUAUAGCUCAACUAUAGUAAGCUUUUAAAACUGCUCAUCUUGAGGUAUGGAAGGGAAAGUGGAAUUCCUAGUGUAGCGGUGAAAUGCGCAGAUAUUAGGAGGAAUACCGGUGGCGAAGGCGACUUUCUGGCCAUAUACUGACGCUGAGGUACGAAAGCGUGGGUAGCAAACAGG
RNAcentral lists this ribosomal RNA (402 nucleotides) under Verrucomicrobiota bacterium. Its description in RNAcentral is "Verrucomicrobia bacterium partial 16S ribosomal RNA". It matches the Rfam family "Bacterial small subunit ribosomal RNA", at positions 355 to 776 of the family's 1533-position model. The record is from RNAcentral. Lineage: Bacteria; Pseudomonadati; Verrucomicrobiota.